GAUGAACGCUGGCGGCGUGCCUAAUACAUGCAAGUCGAGCGAACAGACGAGGAGCUUGCUCCUCUGACGUUAGCGGCGGACGGGUGAGUAACACGUGGAUAACCUACCUAUAAGACUGGGAUAACUUCGGGAAACCGGAGCUAAUACCGGAUAAUAUAUUGAACCGCAUGGUUCAAUAGUGAAAGACGGUUUUGCUGUCACUUAUAGAUGGAUCCGCGCCGCAUUAGCUAGUUGGUAAGGUAACGGCUUACCAAGGCAACGAUGCGUAGCCGACCUGAGAGGGUGAUCGGCCACACUGGAACUGAGACACGGUCCAGACUCCUACGGGAGGCAGCAGUAGGGAAUCUUCCGCAAUGGGCGAAAGCCUGACGGAGCAACGCCGCGUGAGUGAUGAAGGUCUUUGGAUCGUAAAACUCUGUUAUUAGGGAAGAACAAAUGUGUAAGUAACUAUGCACGUCUGGACGGUACCUAAUCAGAAAGCCACGGCUAACUACGU
RNAcentral lists this ribosomal RNA (496 nucleotides) under uncultured bacterium. RNAcentral's name for it is "partial 16S ribosomal RNA". It matches the Rfam family "Bacterial small subunit ribosomal RNA", at positions 28 to 506 of the family's 1533-position model. The record is from RNAcentral.